Molecule: long non-coding RNA, 333 nt
Organism: Gavialis gangeticus (Gharial)
Lineage: Eukaryota; Metazoa; Chordata; Crocodylia; Gavialidae
Exons: 2
Source: RefSeq, a predicted model, not a curated record
CUCCUGGGCCUGGGGGGGCACCCGAGGUCCCCCCGUGGUCAAUCACUGAGCUGGCCCCCCCUGCGCAUACUCCCCAGAAGACCUAGCAAUGGGCUGAAAGUAUUUCCAAUCCACUGCGCUCCUGUGGGAUGCUCCAUCUGCCCCAACAUCGCAGUGUUCAAGAGCCAUGCCUGGUACCUUGAGGAAUGAAAAAAAAAAAUUAGAAACUCACUUUACCCAGAUGAGGGAAUUGUAAAACUCUGGAUCAACAGAUUCCAAAUCCUUGAGUCCCACUGGCUUGUUGAGAAUACGCUUGUAGAAUGGCAGAGAGAAUCCUGUAUCAAUGAAUUUCCC